Molecule: ribosomal RNA, 407 nt
Filed under: uncultured bacterium
Lineage: Bacteria
Description: partial 16S ribosomal RNA
Rfam family: Bacterial small subunit ribosomal RNA
Source: RNAcentral
AUUGAACGCUGGCGGCAGGCCUAACACAUGCAAGUCGAGCGGAGCGGCGUACGGGUGAGUAAUACCUAGGAAUCUGCCUGGUAGUGGGGGAUAACGUUCGGAAACGGACGCUAAUACCGCAUACUAUCAGAUGAGCCUAGGUCGGAUUAGCUAGUUGGUGAGGUAAUGGCCCACCAAGGCUACGCUCCGUAACUGGUCUGAGAGGAUGAUCAGUCACACUGGAACUGAGACACGAUCCAGACUCCUACGGGAGGCAGCAGUGGAGAAUAUUGGACAAUGGGCGAAAGCCUGAUCCAGCCAUGCCGCGUGUGUGAAGAAGGACUUCGGAUUGUAAAGCACUUGAAGUUAGGAGGCGUUAACGACAAAAUAAGCACCGACUAACUCUGUGCCAGCAGCCGCGGUAAUUC